GACGAACGCUGGCGGCGUGCUUAACACAUGCAAGUCGAACGAAAAGAGGGAAAGAGCUUGCUCUUUCCGGAAUUGAGUGGCAAACGGGUGAGUAACACGUAAACAACCUGCCUUCAGGAUGGGGACAACAGACGGAAACGACUGCUAAUACCGAAUAAGUUCCAAGGGCCGCAUGGCCCAUGGAAGAAAAGGUGGCCUCUACCUGUAAGCUAUCGCCUGAAGAGGGGUUUGCGUCUGAUUAGCUGGUUGGAGGGGUAACGGCCCACCAAGGCGACGAUCAGUGGCCGGUCUGAGAGGAUGAACGGCCACACUGGAAUUGAGACACGGUCCAGACUCCUACGGGAGGCAGCAGUGGGGAAUCUUCCGCAAUGGGCGAAAGCCUGACGGAGCAACGCCGCGUGAGUGAUGACGGCCUUCGGGUUGUAAAACUCUGUGAUCCGGGACGAAAAGGCAGAGUGCGAAGAACAAACUGCAUUGACGGUACCGGAAAAGCAAGCCACGGCUAACUACGUG
RNAcentral lists this ribosomal RNA (513 nucleotides) under uncultured bacterium. RNAcentral's name for it is "partial 16S ribosomal RNA". It matches the Rfam family "Bacterial small subunit ribosomal RNA", at positions 28 to 507 of the family's 1533-position model. The record is from RNAcentral.